RNAcentral lists this ribosomal RNA (252 nucleotides) under uncultured bacterium. RNAcentral describes it as "partial 16S ribosomal RNA". It matches the Rfam family "Bacterial small subunit ribosomal RNA", at positions 524 to 776 of the family's 1533-position model. The record is from RNAcentral.
UACGAAGGGGACUAGCGUUGUUCGGAAUUACUGGGCGUAAAGCGCACGUAGGCGGAUUUGUUAGUCAGGGUGAAAUCCCGGGGCUCAACCUCGGAACUGCCUUUGAUACUGCAAGUCUCGAGUCCGAUAGAGGUGGGUGGAAUUCCUAGUGUAGAGGUGAAAUUCGUAGAUAUUAGGAAGAACACCGGUGGCGAAGGCGGCCCACUGGAUCGGUACUGACGCUGAGGUGCGAAAGCGUGGGGAGCGAACAGG